CAAUCAUUUAAGGUGUGAACCAUAGCUUUAAAUAAAGUUAAAUAUUAAAGGUGUUCAUAUGUUAUGCAAGCCAAACAUAUGAACAGAGUAAACAUAUGGACCGAGUUUAGUGUAAUCAAAUAUAACACAAACAGGUUCAUCUAGUUCAUUAAAUUCUAUCUGUGCAUUCCUUUAACAGAUACUGGUUGAACACCUACUAUGAACCAGGCACAGUGCUUUGCUGGGGGUACACAGAUGAUUGAAACACUGGUCUCCGCUUCAAAGAGCUAAUGGGAGAGGUAGACCCAUAAGCAGACAACUAUGACUCAAUGUGGGAGCAGAGUGCAACAGUUUGGAAGAGGACAUUAGAAUAUGGACAUUCAACAGAGGGAAGACCAUGUCAGGACACAGUGAGAAGAGGCCAUCUAUAAGCCAAGGAGAGAGGCGUCCAAAGGAGCCAAUCCUGCCAACACUUUGA
This 457-nucleotide long non-coding RNA is filed under the name Homo sapiens (human). RNAcentral describes it as "HSALNT0015959". The record is from RNAcentral. Lineage: Eukaryota; Metazoa; Chordata; Mammalia; Primates; Hominidae.